CAGGACGAACGCUGGCGGCGCGCCUAACACAUGCAAGUCGAACGAGCGAGAGAGAGCUUGCUUUCUCGAGCGAGUGGCGAACGGGUGAGUAACGCGUGAGGAACCUGCCUCAAAGAGGGGGACAACAGUUGGAAACGACUGCUAAUACCGCAUAAGCCCACGGCUCGGCAUCGAGCAGAGGAAAGGAGUGAUCCGCUUUGAGAUGGCCUCGCGUCCGAUUAGCUAGUUGGUGAGGUAACGGCCCACCAAGGCGACGAUCGGUAGCCGGACUGAGAGGUUGAACGGCCACAUUGGGACUGAGACACGGCCCAGACUCCUACGGGAGGCAGCAGUGGGGAAUAUUGCACAAUGGGGGAAACCCUGAUGCAGCGACGCCGCGUGGAGGAAGAAGGUCUUCGGAUUGUAAACUCCUGUUGUUGAGGAAGAUAAUGACGGUACUCAACAAGGAAGUGACGGCUAACUACGUG
RNAcentral lists this ribosomal RNA (467 nucleotides) under uncultured bacterium. Its description in RNAcentral is "bacterial SSU rRNA". It matches the Rfam family "Bacterial small subunit ribosomal RNA", at positions 25 to 507 of the family's 1533-position model. The record is from RNAcentral.